CUCUGUCUGCUAGUUGUUGUUGCUCCAGUUCUCCCUUCAUUUCUGUUGGUUUAGUUUGGUUAUGUUGUUUCAGUUUAUUGUUACGAGAAGUGUUUCGAGAAGUUAGCUGACAGGGCAAGCACUGACAUAUGACAUGUUGUGUGUUUGUGUGGCGCUGAUUAACCCUGGUACAUUCAUUCAGGACAUGUCUCAGAUGAUUAAUGUCUCAGGCAGUCGCGGAAACGGCACGCUGACGGCUGCAAACCAGACGCCUUCUACACAGAGAACACUAUUGAAGACAAAGACGCUGACGGACUGUUCUUGUUCUCCUACCAUACAAACUUUUGUAAAUACACCUUUUGAAACCUAAAGUACAACAACGAGGAAGAGCGGGGGGCUGGCCCAGCGAGGACGUCGACUGAGCACGCAGGGCAGUGUACCCUGGAGAGAAGGCGUGGCCACCGAAGCAAGCAGACCUCUUCAGACGCCAACGCAUUUUGUGUCUGGGAAGCAAAUAUUUCGCUGCACAAAGCAUGCUGGGAUACCUGGAGACACGGACCAAGCUGGCAUUGCAACAGGAAAAAGAAGACCCAGAAUUACUGCUUGGAGGAAGGUGGCAGCUAUUGUUGGGGGAAACUUAUGGCCUGGCCUCGUCACUCUGAUAUCAGGUGUGCUCAGACCACACUGUGCUGUCUCUUCCUGUGAAGAGAUGCAUACCCCCCCGCCCCCGACAAACCAUUAGACUCUCCAUAUGAGCCUCCUGUUCCUUAUUGUGUUUGGAAGGAACCUCAGAGCUGCAGAGUUCAGAUCAUCAGAGCCCACAUUCUGUAGAUCAAUACAGUAUUUAGUAUCACAUAUCUCACACACUGGAACUACUUUUUUCAGAAGGCAGUGGAGAAUCUGUACUGGCCCUGGUUAAUGAUUUAAACCUUAAAUAUACCAACAUAUAUUAUUAACUACUGUAAUACUUCACCUUGUUUCUUUCAGGAUGCAGUUCUUCUUUAGCAACUAUGUGACAAAACAUACGCCUGAUUAGUUAACUGACCAAAUUCUUUGCAGUGGAUUUGUCUGUUAAAACGUAAUACAACUGAAUGUACAACAAGUGAUACGUCUGUACCUUUCUGAAGUGACAGAUGACAGCUAUCAUGAAGACAAACGUCAGAACACCAGGAUCACAUUUAGUCUGUUUUUAAAAGAGAUGGCUGAGAUUGAAAUGACUGGCUCUGUGGACACUUGCACCGGUGCUUUAAAAAAAACAAAAUGACGAAACUUGAGACAUAUUGUUUUACUGUUUUUUCUUUGUGCUGUUUUCAUACUACUAAUAAAUGUGAAAUAUUCUAUAAGUAUGA
Molecule: long non-coding RNA, 1328 nt
Organism: Perca fluviatilis (European perch)
Lineage: Eukaryota; Metazoa; Chordata; Actinopteri; Perciformes; Percidae
Exons: 4
Source: RefSeq, a predicted model, not a curated record